CAGGGGAAGGGUGUUUGCUGGAGGGGGGGUGGUCGCAAUGGAGAGCAGAUGUUUCGGUUGCCGGAGCUGCCAGGGGUCUGCGUGCCGCGGGGUCGACGCCAGAGGUUAAGGGUCCGUCUGGGCAGAGCAGUGGUGUCAGAUGGAGCAGGCCAGCCUAUCGGCAUAAGUGGAAGAGAAGCAGACAGAAGUGGUAUGAGACUAUGGGAAGAGGAGCCACGGCUCGUGGGAACACUAGCCAUGAUUACCCCUGCAGCAGCUGCUUAAUAACCUGAAAGGCAGGCUAAGUAUGCCCAGCAGUAGUUCAGUUGCUGUUGCAUUCCUGCACAAAGGGAUGGCAUUGGGAAGCCCUGCUCCAGUGCGGUCUUCUGGGACACAAGAAGGAGAAUGGGGGAAGGACCUGCCUAGCAGUUCUAAGCAAGAGGACUGUGAUCCUAAAUUGUGUUCAAUGGACCACCACCCUCCACAAAGGGGUGGAGCAGGGACACAAACAAGUACAUAGGUUAUUUUUCUCAAAAGGCUUCAAUGUGAGUGAGCUGCAAUCAAUGGAAAGGCUUCCUUCUGAUUUUGCAGGUCUCUGGAUUUAAGCCCGUAUGUGGAGGGUAGAGUAUUUUGUGCAAUGGCUUUAACCUGCCUCAGAGACUGUCACAUCACCAGAUCCUUUUUCCAUUCCUGUUGGUUACAGUCAGUUUUGCAGUGUUUGCCUCCUGGGCUCAGGACACUGAGCCUAAACAAAGGAUGAUUGGGAAAAUUAUAAAUUUGUAUCCUCCCUUAACAGCUGUGUUUAAAAUAAGUCUCUAUAAUUAUCAGAUUGUUUUAAGCUUACCAUCAUAAUUUACUGUGCUUCCCUAAAGCAGUAGCAGAUGAAUCUAAACAGUGCACAGCUUGUGGUCUGUCCACAGCAUGCCCACGACAUCGUCCUAGUCUCAGACAUUCCCAUGAAGGCCAGCCGGUGAGUCACGCAGCCGCAGCUCCUCAUUGCCGGCAAAGGGAGCCCACCUGAGGGGCAGCCUUUCACUCUUUCCUUCAUCCAGGCACUCACUCACUUCUCCCAGUGGGGCUCCAGUCUCCAGCACAGGCGGUGUCUCUGCAGAGGCACGCUGAUGGACUCUUCAGAAGUCUUUUGCACACAAAAGCAGGCACUCCCGCUACACAUCUGCAGGCUGAUUUAUUAGAAUACACAGAUUUGCGGGGCAAUAUAAUAUUGUAUGCAGCAGAUAAGAACAGCAUGCACAGAGUCUUUUAGCUGUGCACAUCUGUAUUCCUAUCUGGAAAUAACCUGCAAGUUAGAUUCUUGUUUGAAUCACAUGUAGUUGGGGUGUAAAGAGUAGAGCCAUUAUCUGUCCAGACUAGGGUCAUCCAGGAAAGCAAGCAUUUGUAGCAAGAAGUUUAAGAUCAUGUAACCCUUUUUUCUUUUUUCUCAUUUUACUUGUGUAGACUUUUAGCCAGCAGCACACAGAAAAUCUGGAAAAUUAUCUAGAUUUGGGAUCCAUAUGUAGAUGAAUUUGCUAGCUUUGUUCAUAUUAAAGUUUAAAAUUUUCAGAAAAAAAUGCAGAUUUCUAUCCUUUUCAUUCAAAACAAGCAUAGCAUUUUCAAGGACCACAGUUUUGACCUAUCAGAAUAUGUACAAUCUUGAACUGAAAAGAUGUAAUCAGAAGACAAAAAGAAUGACCUACAUCUGUACAGAAGCUUCUCAUCUAUUCCUAUUAAAAGAACAUCGAUGGCCAUCUCUGUCCUAAGAUCAAGUAAUUCCUAUACUUCUAAGAUGAAUUCAUCUGUGUUGCCCCUCAUUUUCUAUGGGGCUGCAGCCAUGGCUGACAAGGAUGGGGAUUCUUCUCCAGGAUGGUAAGUCCGAUGAUUUCCAGCAAGGUCCCUUGCAGGUGCUUUUCAAGCAGAGUUGAUUUAAAGGCAACUGCAAUUAUGAAAAUUAGAAAUCAUGACUGCCAACUAUUUAAAUUGAGAUAAACCCUCUCCAGUUGAGAGAAAGUGAACAAAGGCCAUAUGUAAGUCCUUAGCAUUGACUGGCAAAACACAAGUGGGUUUUUUGGGUGUUUGCCAGUUUUGCUUAAGAUACACUACCUAGUAUUCUCAGGGUCUGCAGGAAUCUCUUGUGAUUCUUUACAGUUAAGUCCAUCAAAUACUUACAUUUUCAACUCCAGUGUUUCAUUAUUUAAUGCAGCUUUGGCAAGCCACAAUUGUACAGUUCUUCAGUCCUCUCAUCAUCUACGUUAUCAUGUAUCUUUCAAAGACUAGAAUAGAUUUCUACUAAAUGAUUUAGCUCUGCUCAAAGAUAGGGCUGAUAAAUUGAACUUUCACUCAUACUGCCUGUUAUUAUAUUUUGUUUGUUGUAAAAUGAGGUGGUUUUUUGCCUUCUGAAAGAACUUAAGAUUUUGUUUUAUUGCAGAGAGGAUCUAAGUGAUUUGACAACACCAUUAGGUAGAACAAAGUCUUCUUACAAUACUGUGUAAAUAAUUAGUUACUCUGAACAAAAGAUUCGCAACAGCAGUUUAAGUAUUUCCUUAUAAUUUUAUGUAGGGUUUGUAAAAAAAAAAAACCCAACAAAAAACCAAACACAACAAAAACAACAAACCAAAACCCAAAGAUCCAUAUUCAUAACUCAUGUAUUAAAAGUGUCUGGUUGGAAUCUGCAUCCAAAUCUCUUCUCAUCUCUCUUUGUCUCUGUGAUCUUCAAGUUUUCAGGCAGGCAGCGCCUGAGGAUUGAGUUCUGCCCUGUUCCGGGGUAACUGAUAUACCUGCCUGAUCCAGAUGCUUAGUAGG
Non-coding RNA from Phalacrocorax carbo (great cormorant), 2775 nucleotides. The record is from RefSeq and is a predicted model, not a curated record. Lineage: Eukaryota; Metazoa; Chordata; Aves; Suliformes; Phalacrocoracidae.